UGGGGAAUAUUGCGCAAUGGGCGAAAGCCUGACGCAGCGACGCCUCGUGAGGGAUGAAGGUCUUCGGAUCGUAAACCUCUGUCAAGAGGGAAGAAACCUUUGGAUUCGAACAGGGUCCUUAGCUGACGGUACCUCUAAAGGAAGCACCGGCUAACUCCGUGCCAGCAGCCGCGGUAAUACGGAGGGUGCAAGCGUUAAUCGGAAUCACUGGGCGUAAAGCGCUCGUAGGCUGUUUGGUAAGUCAGACGUGAAAUCCCGCGGCUUAACCGCGGAACUGCGUUUGAUACUGCCAGACUUGAGUGUCGGAGAGGGUGGCGGAAUUCCGGGUGUAGGAGUGAAAUCCGUAGAUAUCCGGAGGAACACCAGUGGCGAAGGCGGCCACCUGGACGACAACUGACGC
RNAcentral lists this ribosomal RNA (400 nucleotides) under uncultured bacterium. RNAcentral's name for it is "bacterial SSU rRNA". It matches the Rfam family "Bacterial small subunit ribosomal RNA", at positions 355 to 746 of the family's 1533-position model. The record is from RNAcentral.